AAUUGGGUGGAAAUGCUCACCUUUGAUGCACACCAAUGCCCAUCCAAGUUUCAAACCAGCCCGAUUUUUUCCUUCAUCCAGACCAGAUGAAGGGUUUGAAUGGCCUGGAUGACAUAUACACAACUAUCUUUCAUGAAUCUUUAUUUUUAAUUGUUUUUCUGAUUUAUUUUUUUAUUCUUAUUGUGUUUUUAGAAGCAAAUGACAGGGAAGCUGCAAAGGCCGCUGAACAGCUGCAAUCUGUUGGAAUUUCUGGCAGCGGCGAUGGUGCAGCAGCAGCAGCUACUUCAGCCUGUUCACAAAUGGAUGGUUUGUCAUAUUUAUUUUCCAUGCUUACGUAAUGGGAUAGCAAAGGUAAUUCUUUCUUUAGGUUUACAAGGUGUUCUACACAUUGUCACCAACAUGAUUAUAGUUGCCAAGCAGUGUUGCUCUGUUUUUUUUUUUUCCUUGUACUAUUCUGUUGUCAGCCUUCCUUUCUUUUUGUUUUUCAUUCAGUGGGUUUUUCAGAUCUUUUAUCCUGUGGAGGAACCCAUGAGUAGCUCUGGACCCACUCUGUCAAGAUAUCAAAGCUUCAACCAAGACAAUGAGGAUUAUGACUAGCAUUAACUUUGCACUGCAAUUCGUUUGAAGAUGAUCAAAAUUUUUGGGGCAAGUGAAAUGCUUAAUCAAAAUUUCUUCUUGAUGUAGCUGAUCAUCCAAAGGUAGACAACUAUUUUUCAGAUACAAGACUAGCGGCAUAUGUGGUACCAUAUAUUACAAUUCUUAAUCUGCAUGCCACAAAUCAUGCUCACACUUUGUGGGUGUUUCUAUUUGAGAAUGUGUGAGGUUUGAUAUGCAUCCA
This is a long non-coding RNA of Magnolia sinica, 838 nucleotides long. RefSeq lists it as uncharacterized. Lineage: Eukaryota; Viridiplantae; Streptophyta; Magnoliopsida; Magnoliales; Magnoliaceae. The record is from RefSeq and is a predicted model, not a curated record. The transcript is spliced from 3 exons.